UCCGCCGUUGCAGCCUAGGGAUUUGGAAUGUAGUGAGUGGGAAGGAAGCGAAGAUGCUCUGUGGUGGAUUCUUUUGGGGAAAUUGGAUCCGAACCCAACCAUGUACGACAUUCUGAUUGGGUUAUCUCCGAUUAUGUAAUCAACUUGUCGCUUCGAUAGGCUUAUCAAGGCAUUGGGGACGAUAACAGAGUUUCCGCAGUUGAAUGUGUGUUUUGUGGCUUUCAUGUAUUUGGCGUAAGUCGUGAGCAAGAAUGUUAUGGAGGUUACGUAUUGCAGAUUGCUUUGAGGUAUUUGAUAUGGAGAAUUAGAUCAUUACCUUGAGUGUAUUGGGUUGAUGAGGAAGGAGAAUCUGGAAGGAUUUGGCACAUGAAAUUCUCAGCUGCUUGCUUGUAUGGUUCGAAGUUGAUGUCUUUGUUAAGUAAUGCUCUCUGCCAAAAGUAAUGAUUUUGAAUUAGUGAGUCAGAUAGUCUGAUGCUAAAGCAUGGGUUUUUAUAAGAAACGAGACAAACCCGUGACAGAAGAACAUAGGCGCCAGCAUAUUUAUUGUCCCAGCUGAAGAUGUCAGGUUGAUCUCCACCUCCUAAAGAUUUGAUGAAGUUUGCGUAAUAUGGGUUAUUGGUUGCUCUCAGCAGCCAGGAAGCACCCCACAUCAGCUCGUCCUGUUAUCAGAAAAUCACAUUUCAAAAUGAGGAUCCGAUGUUGUCGUAAAGAGUGGUUUAGUUGAGAGAUGAAACAUAUGAAAGCAGACCUUGUAACCAGAGUAGGAACAGUAGAAAGGACAGACGGAUGAAGAAAGGGAAUCACUGUAAGCUCCCCUGUAUUGAAUGGCAAAUUGCAUCACAUCUUUAGCUGUUGCCAGCAGCAAACGCGAAUACGUAGAAUCAACUUUUCUGAAAACCAUAGAAGCUGCAGCUAGAGCUGCUGCUGUUUCAGCUGCAACAUCAGAACCGGGGUUAGAAGGGGAUACAGAGUAAACUGUACGUGGUGUGUCCAUGUCCUCAGGUCGUUCCCAGCAUUUGUGAUCAACAUUAGGAUCUCCUACCCCAACAUAAAGCUUUCCUGGAGUGGCUCUAGCACAUUUCAGCAGGUAAUCUGUGGCCCAACGGAUGUUCACACGUGCGUUUUGCAGCUCAGGACCCAUCCGCUUGCCGUACUCAAGUGCGCUCCAUGAGAGCAUCGUGGUGGUAAACGCCAUUGGGAAAUUGAACUUAACGUUAUCUCCUGCGUCAUAGUACCCGCCGGUUAAAUUGUUUAGGGUAUGUACAUGAGCGGAGGAGCCAUCAGAAAGGCCAGAGCUAGCCCUCCAUGAGAGUUGUUGGCCUCUAGGAAGGCGACCGGAACGCUGACCUUGGAAGAAAAGCAAUGACUUGGAGAGAGCUUCUCUGUAGUUUGGGUUGGCAUCAACAUUGCCUGUGAGAAGAGACGAGAAAAGGAAAACAAAGAAGAAUGGAGAAGUCAUUUUCCAAAGACAGAGAAGUAAAUUGCUUUUGAGGUACGAAUCUAUUACGUGCAGGUCCACAUAUAUAUAUAGAGAAAGGGAGAUGCAGAGAUAAGAGAGAUAGGAGAGAGAAUGAUCCGGCGCUGAUGGAAGCGAUAAAUAUGGCUUUAUGGGUAAUCAACGUGCUCCUAAACAAAAGUACCUUAAUUUCUCCAAUCUAAAUCCUCUUUUUUAACUAUUUUAUGCAUAGUCCUUACCUUAGUCCCUUAACCAAAUCCUAUUUUUCUCUUUUCUGUCUAUUGUUAAACUUUAGUCUUCUUUAUCUAUUCAAAUUCCUGUUUAUUUUUUCUUUGUAAAUAUUUGUCUUUUUAAGUGUUGAAAAAUGGAAUAAACUAGGAUUUGGCA
This is a long non-coding RNA of Camelina sativa (false flax), 1843 nucleotides long. RefSeq lists it as uncharacterized. The record is from RefSeq and is a predicted model, not a curated record. NCBI's taxonomy places the organism in Eukaryota, Viridiplantae, Streptophyta, Magnoliopsida, Brassicales, Brassicaceae.